CAGGACGAACGCUGGCGGCGUGCCUAAUACAUGCAAGUCGAGCGAAUGACAAGGAGCUUGCUCCUUGAUUAGCGGCGGACGGGUGAGUAACACGUGGGUAACCUACCCUAUAGACUGGGAUAACUUCGGGAAACCGGAGCUAAUACCGGAUAAUACUUCGAAACACAUGUUUUGAAGUUGAAAGAUGGUUUCGGCUAUCACUAUAGGAUGGACCCGCGGCGCAUUAGCUAGUUGGUGGGGUAAUGGCUCACCAAGGCAACGAUGCGUAGCCGACCUGAGAGGGUGAUCGGCCACACUGGGACUGAGACACGGCCCAGACUCCUACGGGAGGCAGCAGUAGGGAAUCUUCCACAAUGGACGAAAGUCUGAUGGAGCAACGCCGCCGUGAGUGAAGAAGGAUUUCGGUUCGUAAAACUCUGUUGCAAGGGAAGAACAAGUAGCGUAGUAACUGGCGCUACCUUGACGGUACCUUGUUAGAAAGCCACGGCUAACUACGUGCCAGCCGCGGC
Molecule: ribosomal RNA, 509 nt
Filed under: uncultured bacterium
Lineage: Bacteria
Description: bacterial SSU rRNA
Rfam family: Bacterial small subunit ribosomal RNA
Source: RNAcentral